AACGAACGCUGGCGGCACGUUUUAAGCAUGCAAGUCGAAUGGCACUGGGGGCAACCCCAUGAGGAUUGCGAACCGGGGAGUAACACGUACGUGAUCUGCCUGACGGAUGGGGAUAGCUUGUGGAAACACCGGGUAAUACCGAAUGAGCUGACGAGGCUAUGGUUUUGUUAGUAAAGGUGCUACGGCACGGCCGGCAGAGGACCCUGCGGCUGAUUAGCUAGUUGGUGGGGUAAAGGCCUACGAAGGCGACGAGCAGUAGCCGGCCCGAGAGGGAGGACGGCAACACUGGAACUGAGACACGGUCCAGACUCCUACGGGAGGCAGCAGCUAAGAAUCUUCCGCAAGGGGCGAAAGGCUGACGGAGCGAUGCGGCGUGAUCGAUGAAGGUCGAGAGAUUGUAAAGAUCUUUUCUACAUGAGGAAUAAGUCUGGGAGGGAAUGCCUGGAUGAUGACGUUAGUGUAGGAAUAAGCCCCGGCUAAUUACGUGCCAGCAGCCGCCGUAA
Molecule: ribosomal RNA, 503 nt
Filed under: uncultured bacterium
Lineage: Bacteria
Description: partial 16S ribosomal RNA
Rfam family: Bacterial small subunit ribosomal RNA
Source: RNAcentral